GGAGGAAAGAGCAAUUCUCAGUCACCUGACAACAUCAGUAGUAGUAUACAGUGAGUGAACUUACAGCUUCAGCUCCUUGCUUUAUAAGAACCAGGGAGCCAUCUCUGACACCUUCCUCAAUAUCCAUAUCGGAGUGGCGUUCGAGCAACUAACCUAGCUCUCACAAUAUGAACAACAGUAGCAACUGUGAGAAGAGAGUGAACAAGUGGAGAUCUCUCUCCCAGCAAAAAGAAUGAAACUUUAAACCGACUCAAAUUAACGGAGAAGAAGCACAGAAACGAACCUUUUGUCGGCGUAACGGCGGAAUCCGGCGCGGCGGAGUGGACAGAAAACCGCUCAAUUGAAAAGAAACGCUAAAACCCUUCGUCUUGUUUUCUUCCAACCAUAAACCACAUCUCCAAUUUUCUCGGCAGGGAAUGGGUUGACAUCAAAACGACGCCGUAUUAGUGUUUUGAUUAUGGGGGUGUUUCCGUAAUUUAUUGUAAUCAGAGUUGAGGCCUGAAUUACCUGAAUCUUCUCCGCCGAAUUACGAACCCUAACAAGACUACGCUCCCUGCAUCGAGACGGAGGAGCUCAGUGACGCCCUGUUGUCCGUCGGAAUCUUGGUAUCAUUACUGGUACUUCUUCUUAUUCUUAUUUUAAUUGAUUAGGUUGCUGAUUGGUCGCAUGAUUAAAUUAGUUGCCUGCGCAGAGUUUGUACUGGUGAAUUAUGAAAAGGGGGAUUCCAUGGAGUGACGAUGAAGGUAAAGGGUCGUCAGAUUCCGACGAUGAAUCGUCGUCCUCGUCGGCAUCGGAUUCUGAGAAUGAGAUUGCCAAAACCAAGACGAAAUCCAAGAACGCAUCUAAAGGUACCCUGUCAUAUCUGGUUACAUAUCUGGUUUCUCGCUUACAACUGACUUGUCAACUUGAAAUCCUUGGUUAAAAGAUGUUACAGCCUUCUUCAAAUUACAAGUUCAAUUUUUAGCUGUUGGGAUUGAAUAGAUGAGUUAAAAGAAUCAAUUUGCCACUCCAAAGCCACUAUUUUUGCUGAUCUUAAGUGCAAUUUUACAACGAAUCAGAGAGCCAUUGUUUUCUUUUGCUGUAAACUUAGUUUGACUUUAGUUUUGUGAUGGGUGAUUACUUAUUAGAAUGUCUUUGAUGUGGAUUCUAUAGGCAAGGCUGCAAAGCGUAGGGGUGGAGUUGUGGACUUUGAGGACCUAAGGCGACAUGGAUACAAAGGUGCACCAUCAGUCCUGAGAAUGCCACCACCUAAAGACGACACUGAGCCGAACUGGACCUGG
Molecule: long non-coding RNA, 1280 nt
Filed under: Linum usitatissimum (flax)
Lineage: Eukaryota; Viridiplantae; Streptophyta; Magnoliopsida; Malpighiales; Linaceae
Description: long non-coding RNA (LUSI_LNC002300)
Source: RNAcentral